RNAcentral lists this long non-coding RNA (687 nucleotides) under Brassica napus (rape). RNAcentral's name for it is "long non-coding RNA (BNAP_LNC017720)". Lineage: Eukaryota; Viridiplantae; Streptophyta; Magnoliopsida; Brassicales; Brassicaceae. The record is from RNAcentral.
UCGAGGAUUAAGCAAAAGCAAAGAUGCGUGUCUCUCAUGAGUUGAUAUUACUUGAAGCUGAGAAUUACUUCAACAACUUAUAAUAUAAUCCAGGGUUAGUCUUCCUAAUUCUAUAUUCCGAAUACAUUGAAUGGGCAUAACAAACAUUAACGUAUUUGCCAACAGUCAAAUCAUAUACACAAACUCUUGUAUUACAUUUUUGUUGAAACCAUAGGAGACUAGUUUUGCUAAUUUAACAACCUUUGGAAAUAAUAUGUUGUCUCCCAAUCCCUGGUUGGCGAUUGCUAGUGCUUCCCCUCUGCAACCCACGGCUCCGGCCUGCAUAUUCAGCCGCACACCUCCCACCCCAGAUCCGCCUGACCCAAACCACUUCCCCCCUCUCUCUGCUGCUCGUUCCCCUUCCAAACGAUCCAAAUCUUACAUCCCCCUUUUAAGUUUCUGGAUACUGUUCACCAGAAGCUCACUACUUCUGCUUCUCCCUCUGAGAUUUCACCUACUGUUCCUCUUCCCCAAUCUACCACUGUCUUACCUUCUUCCUCAACUUCUCAAUUACUAGCCUCCUUCAUUCACUCCCCAUUUUUUAAUUGUUCACAACACCCUAGUCAUGUUCCUAUUAUUACCUCCGUGAACCACCCAUUGCAAUUAACUCUACUCCCCUUCCACAAACGACCAGUAUUCUUGGCCUCA